This 253-nucleotide ribosomal RNA is filed under the name uncultured bacterium. RNAcentral describes it as "partial 16S ribosomal RNA". It matches the Rfam family "Bacterial small subunit ribosomal RNA", at positions 524 to 776 of the family's 1533-position model. The record is from RNAcentral.
UACAUAGGGGGCAAGCGUUAUCCGGAAUUAUUGGGUGUAAAGGGUGCGUAGACGGAGAAACAAGUUGGUUGUGAAAUCCCUCGGCUCAACCGAGGAACUGCAACCAAAACUAUUUCCCUUGAGUGUCGGAGAGGAAAGUGGAAUUCCUAGUGUAGCGGUGAAAUGCGUAGAUAUUAGGAGGAACACCAGUGGCGGAGGCGACUUUCUGGACGAUAACUGACGUUGAGGCACGAAAGUGUGGGGAGCAAACAGG